UCAAGAAGGAGAGAAGAGCAGGAGAUGGCGGCUCAGAAACAAAAGGCUAAAGAAACUGUCCAGAGGGCCGCCAAAGAAGCACAUUCCAGCGUGUAUUCUCAGUGACUUGGCAUUCCAGUGUGGUUUUCUGUCCAUUCCAGUACAGUGGCUCAAGUGGAAGGCCCAGUAGCGGUGACCGAAACUGAGAACCAAGGCAGGUAUGCCUCCCUCCUGCCAACCUGGAGAAUGCAUUUGAGGAGUUUGAUCCUGAGGGUGAUGCCAACAUUUAGUCCUCGUGUGUGGGUUUCUGCUGGUGAGAUGGCUCUGCGGGUAAGAGCACCCAUUGCUCUUCUGAAGAUCA
Long non-coding RNA from Mastomys coucha (southern multimammate mouse), 340 nucleotides. RefSeq lists it as uncharacterized. The record is from RefSeq and is a predicted model, not a curated record. NCBI's taxonomy places the organism in Eukaryota, Metazoa, Chordata, Mammalia, Rodentia, Muridae. The transcript is spliced from 3 exons.